UGGGGAAUCUUGGACAAUGGGCGCAAGCCUGAUCCAGCCAUGCCGCGUGGAUGAUGAAGGCCUUAGGGUUGUAAAAUCCUUUCGUUGGGGACGAUAAUGACGGUACCCAAAGAAGAAGCUCCGGCUAACUUCGUGCCAGCAGCCGCGGUAAUACGAAGGGGGCUAGCGUUGUUCGGAUUUACUGGGCGUAAAGCGCGUGUAGGCGGAUUUGUAAGUUGGGGGUGAAAUCCCGAGGCUCAACCUCGGAACUGCCUCCAAAACUACAAGUCUGGACCUAAGUAGAGGCAAGUGGAAUUGCGAGUGUAGAGGUGAAAUUCGUAGAUAUUCGCAGGAACACCAGUGGCCAAGGCGACUUGCUGGACUUAUGGUGACGCUGAGACGCGAAAGCGUGGGGAGCAAACAGGAUUAGAUACCCCGUAGUCCCUGAGCGGGC
RNAcentral lists this ribosomal RNA (433 nucleotides) under uncultured bacterium. RNAcentral's name for it is "bacterial SSU rRNA". It matches the Rfam family "Bacterial small subunit ribosomal RNA", at positions 355 to 804 of the family's 1533-position model. The record is from RNAcentral.